UCCGUUUUAACAUUGUCUAUAAAUGAUUCUAAGGUGGUGUUUUUGCUUGGUUUAGGGACCCAGUUGCUUUUCUUUCUAAAUCUAUAUUCGUUGGAGUCAUCAGAGUCACUAUCUGAGGUGGUGCUAUCGUCCUCUUUCGAUGCAAAAUGUUCCUUGAUGCGGAGGCUCCUGGCAAAAUAAUCCAGUUCUCAGACAAUUUAGUAUCAUUCACUGGACCUGGGACUGGACAAAAGUUUAGGCCUCUGGAUAGUAAUGACGUUUCGUCCUCAGUAAGUUGUUUGCUGGAAAGAUUAACAACGGUAUUGAUCUUGUUGCUGAGGACUUGAGGUCUACGUCUAAAAUGUCUGUUUUUGGUUUUAUUAUUCUUUUUUUCUUUUGUACUAAUGGAUGGGAAAGAAGUACCAUCCCGUUGAAAUUUGCAUCUUUGUCUGGAGCGGAGAGUGGCGGUCUUAGUGUUGGUUAUAUCUCUCAGGCGCUCUUGGAUGUUCUCGAAUUCGCUUGCUGUUAGAUCUGUUUUGCAAGCGUGAGACAAGGAGUCAAAUUGAAGUGUUAGGUUUUUAAGAUGUUCAAUACAGUGUUCUCUAAGGAGUAUGAGUAGACGGAGGGAACAAUGAAAUAGGGUUUGAUCCCACCUACGUAGAAAUGUAUCAGACAG
RNAcentral lists this long non-coding RNA (655 nucleotides) under Mytilus galloprovincialis (Mediterranean mussel). Lineage: Eukaryota; Metazoa; Mollusca; Bivalvia; Mytilida; Mytilidae. The record is from RNAcentral.